RNAcentral lists this transfer RNA (47 nucleotides) under Gleditsia sp. yellows phytoplasma. RNAcentral describes it as "tRNA-Ile". It matches the Rfam family "tRNA", at positions 1 to 45 of the family's 71-position model. From Rfam's summary of the family: Transfer RNA (tRNA) molecules are approximately 80 nucleotides in length. Their secondary structure includes four short double-helical elements and three loops (D, anti-codon, and T loops). RNAcentral also lists the same sequence under 1 other name. Lineage: Bacteria; Bacillati; Mycoplasmatota; Mollicutes; Acholeplasmatales; Acholeplasmataceae. The record is from RNAcentral.
GGGCCUAUAGCUCAGUUGGUUAGAGCACACGCCUGAUAAGCGUGAGG